Molecule: long non-coding RNA, 503 nt
Organism: Mus pahari (shrew mouse)
Lineage: Eukaryota; Metazoa; Chordata; Mammalia; Rodentia; Muridae
Exons: 3
Source: RefSeq, a predicted model, not a curated record
GCUCGUUAGAAAGGCCCUGCUCAUUGGUUUUCAAAUCUCAUAGAGCUGAUCUCACAGAUCUGAUCCUUCUGGAAAAGACAUUCUGUGUAAUCUCCCAUGAAGCAGCAGAGCAAACAUAACUUGGAGUUAAGGACACAACUACCAAGGAUGUCUACAUGGGUCAGCAGAAACUCUGUUGUGGUUUGACCAUGACAUGUUCCCAACAGGCUCCCGUGUUGGUCCUAGCUGAUAUCACUGUCUGGAGAGGACCUGGAAACCUCAGGAGGUGGGGCAUAGUUAGUGAUGGGGCUCUGAAGGCUCUGCCUGGUCCCUUCUCAUCUUUACUCUGUCUUCCCACCUGGUCUCGCUGCCCUGGUGUUCUGCCUACAAGCACGGGACCAGCAACCUGGACAGAACACUGAGUCUCUGAGCAGAGUAAAGCCUUCAUCCUGACUUCCUGUCAGGUAUUUGAGUAGAGUCAUGAUAAAAUGAAACAACACAGAACAAAGACACUUGAAAUCCUG